Molecule: ribosomal RNA, 481 nt
Filed under: uncultured bacterium
Lineage: Bacteria
Description: partial 16S ribosomal RNA
Rfam family: Bacterial small subunit ribosomal RNA
Source: RNAcentral
GAUGAACGCUGGCGGCGUGCUUAACACAUGCAAGUCGAACGAAGCACUUUAUUUGAUUUCCUUCGGGACUGAUUAUUUUGUGACUGAGUGGCGGACGGGUGAGUAACGCGUGGGUAACCUGCCUUGUACAGGGGGAUAACAGUUGGAAAUGGCUGCUAAUACUGCAUAAGCGCACGGCAUCGCAUGAUGCAGUGUGAAAAACUCCGGUGGUAUAAGAUGGACCCGCGUUGGAUUAGCUAGUGGGUGAGGUAACGGCACACCAAGGCGACGAUCCAUAGCCGAGCUGAGAGGGUGACCGGCCGCAUUGGGACUGAGACACGGACCAAACUCGGACGGGAGGCAGCAGUAGGGAAUAUUGCACAAUGGGCGAAAGCGUGAUGAAGCGACGCGGCGGAAGCGAAGAAGUAUUUCGGUAUGUAAAGCUCUAUCAGCAGGGAAGAUAAUGACGGUACCGGGCUAAGAAGCACCGGCUAAAUACGUG